RNAcentral lists this long non-coding RNA (715 nucleotides) under Monodelphis domestica (gray short-tailed opossum). RNAcentral's name for it is "lncRNA (ENSMODG00000040257.1)". Lineage: Eukaryota; Metazoa; Chordata; Mammalia; Didelphimorphia; Didelphidae. The record is from RNAcentral.
UACUUACCUUCUGACACAUUAAUGUUUGGCAUAUAGUUAUUGACUUACUUUAUAUCUCCUUUAUUAGAUUAUUCUUUUCAUGAGGGCAGAGCCAUUUUUUUCAUUCCAAUGAAACCCCAUUAUCAGCACCUAGGACAGGGUUUUCAGUAUGGGGCCCGUUGAAAGAUGUUUCUCUGUGAAUUUUUCCAAUCAUGUGUGCUUUGAAAAGAGACUGGAUAACGUUGAAAAGACAGAGGAACAAAUGUGAGAUAAUGAAGAAUGGACUGAUCUGAGGGAAUUCUAACUCAAGGAAAUUUAGAGAAAGAUUUAAUCACAUAAGGUUCUGUGUUGGAGCUGUCUUCUUCUCACGAAGAUCCCUUGAGGAAAAAGAAUAUGAGGAAUGCUACAAAUUGGGGUGGAUUCUCCUUGGUUUAUCAGAGGAUGAAGAGAGACAGGAGGGAACUUGGAUAAAAGCAAAUUCCUGCCUUUCCUGGAGCCAAAUGAGGGUGCCCUGCUGGAUCUAUUUUGCUAAGUGAUCAGCUUUAUCUAAGGGGAAGAGAAAUGCACAGGCCUUUUAUAUUUCAACCUGGAUUUUGAGCCUCACUCUUCAUUUUUGUAGCUAUUUAUGGAUUUGGGUGCCUAAAGGGAGUUUAUUGAACAGCGUCCCCCAAAACACCAGUGCUUGAAUGAAUGAUGAAUGAUGAAUGAAUGAAAAAAAUUAAAUACUAUGUGCCAA